UUUUUUAUUGUGAAUUUAAUAUAUUAAUAAUAAUAUUAUUAUUAAAAAUUUAAAGUUAAACUUAAAACUGUAUAUCUAACUCUAUCUAAGCCUACAGGCUACAGUAACUAAGUCAGCCAUGCACCAUCCUGGAAAGGAGCCUCUCCCGUCUGUCUGUGUAAUUAACCCUGAUCCUCUCUUUCCAAGUUAUUACAAUAUCUUGUAAUUGUGAUGAACUUUGACCAAGAAAGUGUUUUAAAAAAUUAGCUUAGGAUAUUUAAAAGUCUUUAUUUUAAUAUAGUGUGAUUAGAAUGUACUUAGAGUUUUAAAAUCAUGGGGUAAGUGUAGACUAUUAAAUAUAUAAUAAUAGUUACCUUGCAAGUACCGUACCUGAUAGGAAGUGACAAUAAUCAUACGGUUAUCAGCUAUAACUCACAAGUCUUAUUUAUUGUGGUAUUUUCAGGUGGAACUGAAUUCCUUUAGUGAUAGCAGAAUAACAGGAGAUUCAAUCACGAUACUUAUUUCAAAGUAAUUUUGAGUAAAUGAUAAAGAAAUUAAAAGACUGGAUAUGGUUGCACAAGGCUCCAAUAAAAAAAUCUUUAUUUAAGACACAAGCACUGUUUAUAUUUAUGCCUUUUACUGGAGAUCUAGAUACAGACUGUUUUUCUUUCAAGACCUAUUCUGUUCCAUAUUUACUAAACCUCAUAUUACUUAGUAACGUCAGGCUUCCCUAGAGUGUCUUAUGCUACCCAUGUGACUUGUAGUUACAAUCAGAAAGGAAGGGAGAUAGUAACCUCGAGAUUUCACACACAAGGUAAAGUUUUACAUCUAUUUUCCUACUGGCAGACCGUGUUAUCUCUGGGGGAUGACACAGAACAAUAGGUAGCUAAAGUGAAAUUAACUUAAUGACUUUCUUGACAAUGUAAUAUGUGUAAACUGCAUAUACAUCCAAAACAAUUAUCUACUGUUUCAUGGAAUAGUAAUACUGUGUUCUACUUUUUGUUGUGUAUAAGGAUUUGUGAUCCAAAUCAUUCUGAUUGGCCAGCUACAGAAAUAAUAUGAGAUUGGUUUUUAUCAUGAAGGAACAAAGAUGUGCUGUAGGAGUCUGGACCUUGUUUUAACUUUUACCAGUAUGCUGAUCAUGUAGUUUACCUUUUCCUUUUAGUCAAGCAGCUGCUUCAUUUUAGUCUAUUCUUAAGUAAAGUUUUACUUUUUGUUUAAUUCACCAGUUUCAUUUUUUGAAUAGUUUAUUCAAUCCAUAGAGCAAUGAACCAAAUGAUCAGUAAUUCUUUCAUUUACUAAUAAACUUUUUUUUUACUCUGA
This is a long non-coding RNA of Limulus polyphemus (Atlantic horseshoe crab), 1302 nucleotides long. RefSeq lists it as uncharacterized. The transcript has 2 exons. The record is from RefSeq and is a predicted model, not a curated record. Lineage: Eukaryota; Metazoa; Arthropoda; Merostomata; Xiphosura; Limulidae.